AUGUUUCCCUUGGUCUCUCUGAGAAAAUUGGUUAGGGAACUGUCUGACCACAACCCUAUUUUGCUCUAUCUUGAUGGGGAAAAUAGGGUGCCUACUAAGGCCCAAGAAUUUCGAUUUGACCUAUCCUGGCUAAAGGAUGACAGAUUCCUCGGCCUAGUGGCUAAAAUCUGGAAUAGAAAGGUUGCUGCCUCGGAUCCCAUUGACAUCUUAAACAUCAAAUUGAAAAGAUUUAAAUCUUAUUUCAAGGGGUGGGGCUCGGAUAAAUUUGGGCAUGCCAAGAGACGGAAAGAAGACCUACGAAUUGAGCUUGAGCUGCUGGAAGAGGCAGAGGAGGAGGGCCCCCUCCCGCCCGAGCUAUACUGUAGAAAAACUGAUAUAUGUUUUGAGCUCCAUGAGCUGCUUAUCGCUGAAGAAAUCUACUGGCUUCAGCAAUCUCACGAACGCUGGCUGCUUCGAGGGGACCGCAAUACGGACUACUUUCAUAAGAUAGCCAAUGGUCGUAGAAGAAAAAAUGCAAUCCACGCUCUCAAAUGUGGAGAGGUGGAGAUUGAGGGCACUGAUAAUCUGUUGGCUCAUGCUACUAACUUCUAUAAGGAUCUCUUUGGCCCUGCACCAGGUAACUUGUUUCAUCUGGAUCCUGAGACUUGGGGAGAGGCUGAAAGACUC
Molecule: ribosomal RNA, 666 nt
Filed under: Triticum aestivum (bread wheat)
Lineage: Eukaryota; Viridiplantae; Streptophyta; Magnoliopsida; Poales; Poaceae
Description: partial small subunit ribosomal RNA
Source: RNAcentral